Molecule: unclassified non-coding RNA, 325 nt
Filed under: Hevea brasiliensis (rubber tree)
Lineage: Eukaryota; Viridiplantae; Streptophyta; Magnoliopsida; Malpighiales; Euphorbiaceae
Source: RNAcentral
CCAGGGGGCAAAUCUUUUUGGUUAACAAAAGCCAUUUUCUCCAGAAUUUGGUGUGCGUGAACUGUUCUGCCUUUCAGGCAUAGAUAUCUUGGAGACUCUGGAACAAGACGAUAAAAGAGCAGUAAAGAAAAUGAUGGUACAGCAGACAGAGCAAGUAACCACCUCCAAUUCAGUAUUGGCAUCACAAUCCAUGCUAGUGAAGCCUCAAAUAUAGUUCCAAUUGUCCAGAAAAUUGUAAGGAUAACCAUCCACUUGCCUCUAUGCGAAGUGGGAAUAAACUCAAGAAACCAUGACAAGAAUACAUGUCCACCACCCAGGCCAAAAC